AUUGAACGCUGGCGGCAUGCCUUACACAUGCAAGUCGAACGGCAGCACGGGAGCAAUCCUGGUGGCGAGUGGCGAACGGGUGAGUAAAGUAUCGGAACGUGCCCAGUCGUGGGGGAUAACGUAGCGAAAGUUACGCUAAUACCGCAUACGAUCUAUGGAUGAAAGCGGGGGAUCGCAAGACCUCGCGCGAUUGGAGCGGCCGAGAUCAGAUUAGGUAGUUGGUGGGGUAAAGGCUCACCAAGCCGACGAUCUGUAGCUGGUCUGAGAGGACGAGCGGCCGAACAGGGACAGAGGAACGGCGCAGAGUUCUAGGGGAGUCAGGAGUGGGGAAUUUUGGACAAUGGGCGCAAGCCCGAACCAGCGAUGCAGCGUGGAGGAGUAAGUCCUGCGGGUUGUAAGCUGCUAUUGUACGGAACGAAAAGGUGUGACUUAAUACGUUGGUCUCAUGACGGUACCGUAAGAACAAGCACCGGCUAACUACGUGCCAGCAGCCGCGGUAA
This 500-nucleotide ribosomal RNA is filed under the name uncultured bacterium. RNAcentral describes it as "partial 16S ribosomal RNA". It matches the Rfam family "Bacterial small subunit ribosomal RNA", at positions 29 to 523 of the family's 1533-position model. The record is from RNAcentral.